UCCCUGGUGGUCCAGUGGUUAAGACUUGGUGCUCCAAGUGCAGGGGACCUGGGUUCAAUUCCUGGUCAGGGAA
This 73-nucleotide transfer RNA is filed under the name Bos taurus (domestic cattle). It matches the Rfam family "tRNA". Rfam says of the family: Transfer RNA (tRNA) molecules are approximately 80 nucleotides in length. Their secondary structure includes four short double-helical elements and three loops (D, anti-codon, and T loops). Further hydrogen bonds mediate the characteristic L-shaped molecular structure. tRNAs have two regions of fundamental functional importance: the anti-codon, which is responsible for specific mRNA codon recognition, and the 3' end, to which the tRNAs corresponding amino acid is attached (by aminoacyl-tRNA synthetases). tRNAs cope with the degeneracy of the genetic code in two manners: having more than one tRNA (with a specific anti-codon) for a particular amino acid; and 'wobble' base-pairing, i.e. permitting non-standard base-pairing at the 3rd anti-codon position. Lineage: Eukaryota; Metazoa; Chordata; Mammalia; Artiodactyla; Bovidae. The record is from Rfam by way of RNAcentral. RNAcentral also lists the same sequence under 2 other names.